This 30-nucleotide small RNA is filed under the name Arabidopsis thaliana (thale cress). Its description in RNAcentral is "ATSL227920". The record is from RNAcentral. Lineage: Eukaryota; Viridiplantae; Streptophyta; Magnoliopsida; Brassicales; Brassicaceae.
UGUUCUCUCUCUCUCUCUCUCUCUCUCUAC